Molecule: small RNA, 30 nt
Filed under: Bombyx mori (domestic silkworm)
Lineage: Eukaryota; Metazoa; Arthropoda; Insecta; Lepidoptera; Bombycidae
Description: ovarian small RNA-17473
Source: RNAcentral
GGCUGUUGGACCUACUGCCCCAGUGGCUGG